GGGAUACGUAUCACUUGCCAUGGACGAAACAGCUUCCUGAGCCUGUGCUGAGCCUGUGAGGGUUUUACCUGGCAUUCUGCAGAAGCAUUGCUGUAUCUUACCGGACAGGAACACAG
This 116-nucleotide long non-coding RNA is filed under the name Sus scrofa (pig). RNAcentral describes it as "lncRNA (ENSSSCG00015071312.1, ENSSSCG00035078818.1)". The record is from RNAcentral. Lineage: Eukaryota; Metazoa; Chordata; Mammalia; Artiodactyla; Suidae.